Molecule: long non-coding RNA, 308 nt
Filed under: Capra hircus (goat)
Lineage: Eukaryota; Metazoa; Chordata; Mammalia; Artiodactyla; Bovidae
Description: lncRNA (ENSCHIG00000002835.1)
Source: RNAcentral
CACAUUCUUUAUAGAACAUUUGCCAUGGGUGAGCUGAUUAAAUCACAUCUCCAGUGGUUUUAAUGCAAUUAGCAGGGCCUGGCAAACAACUGAAGCAAUGACAUAACCAGUCUGACUGUUUAAAUAUUCAAAGUCAGAGUUAGGGAGGACCCCUGAGGAUGGAGAAAUUGUGUGCUCCACUUAAACAUAUGCCCCAUACUAAAUUGAAUCUAACAGAAACUGAAGGGAAGUAGUUUAAAAACCUGAGAGAGCAGAUUUCAACAUCAUGAGAUCUUGUAAGAAAGAAAGAGGACCCAUCCUAUGUGAAG